Molecule: ribosomal RNA, 524 nt
Filed under: uncultured bacterium
Lineage: Bacteria
Description: partial 16S ribosomal RNA
Rfam family: Bacterial small subunit ribosomal RNA
Source: RNAcentral
GACGAACGCUGGCGGCGUGCCUAAUACAUGCAAGUCGAACGAAGCUGUUUUAACUGGUGCUUGCACCGACUUAAACAACUGAGUGGCGAACGGGUGAGUAACACGUGGGUAACCUGCCCCAAAGCGGGGGAUAACAUUUGGAAGCAGAUGCUAAUACCGCAUAACCACAGAAACCACAUGGUUUCUGUGUCAAAGAUGGUUUCGGCUAUCACUUUGGGAUGGACCCGCGUCGUAUUAGCUAGUUGGUAAGGUAAUGGCUUACCAAGGCAAUGAUACGUAGCCGAACUGAGAGGUUGAUCGGCCACAUUGGGACUGAGACACGGCCCAAACUCCUACGGGAGGCAGCAGUAGGGAAUCUUCCACAAUGGACGAAAGUCUGAUGGAGCAACGCCGCGUGAGUGAAGAAGGUUUUCGGAUCGUAAAACUCUGUUGUCAGAGAAGAACGUGUGCGAGAGUAACUGUUCGUGCAGUGACGGUAUCUGGCCAGAAAGCCACGGCUAACUACGUGCCAGCCGCCGCCGUAA